This 416-nucleotide long non-coding RNA is filed under the name Homo sapiens (human). Its description in RNAcentral is "HSALNT0370736". Lineage: Eukaryota; Metazoa; Chordata; Mammalia; Primates; Hominidae. The record is from RNAcentral.
CAGAGGACAAACUCCACUCCUGGCCUUCCUGCCCAGCUAGAUUUAAGGAUUGUAACCAGGACAGUGAGUCCCUUCUGGGAAAGGGGCCUCGUGGAGGUUAUGAAAUCCAGCAGGUCAUGGAAGGAGAAACGAUUGACAAUCCAGACGGGAUGGAGGCAGGAGUUGGCUCAGUAACCCCAUCUUUCCUAUCCACCAGCACUCCCCUGCGCUUCCCAAAGUCCGGCUUUUCCUUGGUCACCCAGGCUGGAGUGCAAUGGCACCAUCACAGCUCACUGCAACCUCCAACUUCUGGUCUCAAACGAUCCUCUGGCCUCACCUCAGCCUCCUGAGUUGCUGGGAUUACAGUCAAGAGCCACUGCACCCAGCCCCCUCACUGUUGCAUGAAUGGAUGAAUGAGUUGAUUAUGAACCGUUUUG